GACGAACGCUGGCGGCGUGCUUAACACAUGCAAGUCGAACGAAGAGCGAUGGAAGCUUGCUUCUAUCUAUCUUAGUGGCGAACGGGUGAGUAACGCGUAAUCAACCUGCCCUUCAGAGGGGGACAACAGUUGGAAACGACUGCUAAUACCGCAUACGAUCCAAUCUUGGCAUCGAGACUGGAUGAAAGGUGGCCUCUAUUUAUAAGCUAUCACUGAAGGAGGGGAUUGCGUCUGAUUAGCUAGUUGGAGGGGUAACGGCCCACCAAGGCGAUGAUCAGUAGCCGGUCUGAGAGGAUGAACGGCCACAUUGGGACUGAGACACGGCCCAGACUCCUACGGGAGGCAGCAGUGGGGAAUCUUCCGCAAUGGACGAAAGUCUGACGGAGCAACGCCGCGUGAGUGAUGACGGCCUCCGGGUUGUAAAGCUCUGUUAAUCGGGACGAAUGGUUCUUGUGCGAAUAGUGCGAGGAUUUGACGGUACCGGAAUAGAAAGCC
This 495-nucleotide ribosomal RNA is filed under the name Veillonella atypica. RNAcentral's name for it is "bacterial SSU rRNA". It matches the Rfam family "Bacterial small subunit ribosomal RNA", at positions 28 to 492 of the family's 1533-position model. Lineage: Bacteria; Bacillati; Bacillota; Negativicutes; Veillonellales; Veillonellaceae. The record is from RNAcentral.